AUUUAUGAAAUGAGGAAUGGAUUUCAAUCUAUAACUUAAUCAAUCAAUAACUUAAUCUUGUUAAGUGACCGCUCACCAGCUAUAUGGCAUUAUCGAUAACUUUUAGUAAAUAAUUGUCGACUAUACCACCACUAACCAUACAACAGUGUUAUAUCACGAUUGAGUGAUAGGUUGGGCAAAGCGAUCCGUUAAGUUAACGGUGUGACGUCAUUAUUUCCGAAAUUGCAUCAAGCGCUUUUGUAUGGAUUGAAAUAACGUUUAUUCCGCUCGGCGCUAACGGACUAAAUGAAAAUUGAAAACCGAAAACUGAAAACUGGCAACAAGCGAGCGAAACAAAAUGGAAAUCGGCAUUUCAUCAGCUGAUACACCUGUUUUAUUAUGUCCAUACCAGGAGUACAAUCAAUCACGCGAGAAUCUUUAGCUGGUGUUUACUGUGCAUAGCGGCAAACGAAAUAAAUGAAUUUGCUUUACAUAUCAGCUGAUAGUUAUCGCUAUGUGGACACAAGCUCAAUGCUAUAAAUCGAAGCUGCAAAUGUUCCAGACCUGGACCCUCAGUUUUACUGCACGAGCAUAACGGAAAUUUAAAAAAAUUUCCUUUUCGGCACACAAAACUCAACUGGUUAAUCAACGUAUGCGAACUGAUGCCUGCAGCAAGCCCUGGUAGAAGACACGAUAGUAAAAGUGAUUAAUAGCUGCUCAGAAUAUAAAAAUUAGCAAAAACCUUAAAUUGUUCAACUCGUGGAUUUAGUUUAAUUUAGUCUACUAGCUUUAAGACAAAUAACAGUGUCAACGUUGCAUGAUUUUCAUACAAAUUCAAACGCGCGCCCACCAUUUUCUGAAAUAAUGACGUCACGCUGUCAAAUCAGCUGUUCGCUUUGCAUAACCUACUAUCACUAUGGUGGAAUCAGGACAAAAAGUAAGAGAAACGAUUAGC
This 934-nucleotide small RNA is filed under the name Drosophila mojavensis. Its description in RNAcentral is "GI26673". The record is from RNAcentral. Lineage: Eukaryota; Metazoa; Arthropoda; Insecta; Diptera; Drosophilidae.